AACGAACGCUGGCGGCAUGCCUAACACAUGCAAGUCGAACGAGACCUUCGGGUCUAGUGGCGCACGGGUGCGUAACGCGUGGGAACCUGCCCUUAGGUUCGGAAUAACUCCCCGAAAGGGGUGCUAAUACCGGUUAAUUUCUUCGGACCAAAGAUUUAUCGCCUUUGGAUGGGCCCGCGUUGGAUUAGCUAGUUGGUAGGGUAAAAGCCUACCAAGGCGACGAUCCAUAGCUGGUCUGAGAGGAUGAUCAGCCACACUGGGACUGAGACACGGCGCAGACUACUACGGGAGGCAGCAGAGGGGAAUAUAGGAAAAUGGGCGAAAGCAUGAUACAGCAAUGCGGCGUGAGUGAUGAAGGCGUUAGGGUUGUAAAGCUCUUUUACACGGGAAGAUAAUGACAGUACCGGGAGAAUAAGCUCCGGCUAACUCCGUG
Molecule: ribosomal RNA, 433 nt
Filed under: uncultured bacterium
Lineage: Bacteria
Description: partial 16S ribosomal RNA
Rfam family: Bacterial small subunit ribosomal RNA
Source: RNAcentral